This 254-nucleotide ribosomal RNA is filed under the name uncultured bacterium. Its description in RNAcentral is "partial 16S ribosomal RNA". It matches the Rfam family "Bacterial small subunit ribosomal RNA", at positions 524 to 776 of the family's 1533-position model. The record is from RNAcentral.
CACGUAGGGGGCGAGCGUUGUCCGGAUUUAUUGGGCGUAAAGAGCUCGUAGGCGGUUUCGUAAGUCGGGUGUGAAAACUCCAGGCUCAACCUGGAGACGCCACCCGAUACUGCGAUGACUUGAGUCCGGUAGGGGAGCGUGGAAUUCCUGGUGUAGAGGUGAAAUGCGCAGAUAUCAGGAGGAACACCAACGGCGAAGGCAGCGCUCUGGGCCGGAACUGACGCUGAGGAGCGAAAGCGUGGGGAGCGAACAGG